Molecule: ribosomal RNA, 503 nt
Filed under: uncultured Glomus
Lineage: Eukaryota; Fungi; Glomeromycota; Glomeromycetes; Glomerales; Glomeraceae
Description: SSU rRNA
Rfam family: Eukaryotic small subunit ribosomal RNA
Source: RNAcentral
AGCAGCCGCGGUAAUUCCAGCUCCAAUAGCGUAUAUUAAAGUUGUUGCAGUUAAAAAGCUCGUAGUUGAAUUUCGGGAUCAGUACGCUGGUCGUGCCUUCGGUAUGAACUGGUGUCACUGGUUCCUCCCUUCUGAAGAACCGUCAUGCCAUUCAGUUGGUGUGGCGGGGAAUCAGGACUGUUACUUUGAAAAAAUUAGAGUGUUUAAAGCAGGCUCGCGCUUGAAUACAUUAGCAUGGAAUAAUGAAAUAGGACGUUUGACCCUAUUUUGUUGGUUUCUAGGAUCGACGUAAUGAUUAAUAGGGAUAGUUGGGGGCAUUAGUAUUCAAUUGUCAGAGGUGAAAUUCUUGGAUUUAUUGAAGACUAACUACUGCGAAAGCAUUUGCCAAGGAUGUUUUCAUUAAUCAAGAACGAAAGUUAGGGGAUCGAAGACGAUCAGAUACCGUCGUAGUCUUAACCAUAAACUAUGCCGACUAGGGAUCGGAUGAUGUUAAUUUUUAAUGA